Molecule: ribosomal RNA, 434 nt
Filed under: uncultured bacterium
Lineage: Bacteria
Description: partial 16S ribosomal RNA
Rfam family: Bacterial small subunit ribosomal RNA
Source: RNAcentral
GCGAACGCUGGCGGCAGGCUUCACACAUGCCAGUCGCACGGGCAUCUUCGGAUGUCAGUGGCAGACGGGUGAGUAACACGUGGGAACGUACCCUUCGGUUCGGAAUAACUCAGGGAAACUUGAGCUAAUACCGGAUACGCCCUUUUGGGGAAAGGUUUACUGCCGAAGGAUCGGCCCGCGUCUGAUUAGCUUGUUGGUGGGGUAACGGCCUACCAAGGCGACGAUCAGUAGCUGGUCUGAGAGGAUGAUCAGCCACACUGGGACUGAGACACGGCCCAGACUCCUACGGGAGGCAGCAGUGGGGAAUAUUGGACAAUGGGCGCAAGCCUGAUCCAGCCAUGCCGCGUGAGUGAUGAAGGCCUUUGGGUUGUAAAGCUCUUUUGUCCGGGACGAUAAUGACGGUACCGGAAGAAUAAGCCCCGGCUAACUUCGUG